UACGAAGGUGGCAAGCGUUACUCGGAAUUACUAGGCGUAAAGGGCAGGUAGGUGGUUUGGUAAGUCUGUUGUGUAAGCUCCCGGCUUAACUGGGAGAGGUCAACAGAAACUACCAGGCUUGAGUAUAGGAGAGGUUACUGGAAUUCCCGGUGUAGCGGUGAAAUGCGCAGAGAUCGGGAGGAACACCAAUGGCGAAAGCAGGUAACUGGACUAUUACUGACACUAAGCUGCGAAAGCUAGGGGAGCAAACAGG
RNAcentral lists this ribosomal RNA (253 nucleotides) under uncultured prokaryote. RNAcentral's name for it is "partial 16S ribosomal RNA". It matches the Rfam family "Bacterial small subunit ribosomal RNA", at positions 524 to 776 of the family's 1533-position model. The record is from RNAcentral.